CCUUGUUGCGAUCAACAAUAUUUAAUGUGACCAGGAAUUUCAUCAACUUCACAGAGCCAGGGGAGGCGAUGGGAAAUCGAGCUGAGGGCCCGAGUGAGGACAGACCUGCAAGAAAUUUCGACCACGCAGAGAUCGGGUCAAGUCGAUUGAACGGUCACUCUAAUGAUGCAGCAGGAAGGAAACACGCAAGUUAUUUUGCAGUGAAAAAGAGGGCAGUUAAUUUUUAAUCAGCAAAGUUAUGUUUUUAGCAGGCGGUUAAUGUAAAGUCACCAUUGUCUCAUUAGGGAGAGGGAGAAAGAGGUGUGGGGGAGAAAAAGAGAGAAAAAGCAACAACUGUUUUAUGGUUUAACCUGAGGGUCACCACAUCUAAAACACAGAGAAUGAUCACACACGGCAAUCUCAACCAGAGCAGCAAUUGAACUGCAUGCUGUCACCGUGACUAUACAUUGUAAGCCUACUAUAGAAUCAACUGAGCUAACCAACCCCUGCAUGGCCAGUGGCAGAAACAUUGGGUGGCACAGUGGCUCAGUGGUUAGCAUUGCUGCCUCACAGCGCCAGGA
Long non-coding RNA from Chiloscyllium plagiosum (whitespotted bambooshark), 560 nucleotides. RefSeq lists it as uncharacterized. Lineage: Eukaryota; Metazoa; Chordata; Chondrichthyes; Orectolobiformes; Hemiscylliidae. The record is from RefSeq and is a predicted model, not a curated record.